This is a non-coding RNA of Pelobates cultripes (western spadefoot toad), 574 nucleotides long. NCBI's taxonomy places the organism in Eukaryota, Metazoa, Chordata, Amphibia, Anura, Pelobatidae. The record is from the annotation of a GenBank genome assembly.
GUAUCUGUUACGCCGAGGGAUGCUAGGAAUAGAGCAGCCUCUUUAGGCGACGUAGCUCUGUAGGUCUUAUCUGCUGUAUGCACUAUUAAAGCCCUUGGAGAGGACCGCUUCCUGUAAUUUCUGGGUAAUGGGUCGCAUGGCUCGUCUCCAUUGCAGGGUGGAGCGGGUGAGAUCGUGAUAGGUCAGGUUGUGUGUUUUGAAGUUUAGUGGUGCUUUAUCUCUUACUGUGUUCAUGAGCUUUUGCUUAUCCGCCCAGGAUUGAAAUCGGACUAUUAUGUCUCUAGAUGAGGCAGUAGGUGCUCUGGGUGACUUAGCUAUUCGGUAGACACCAUAAAAAACACUAUUGAUUUCGCCAGUGUUGUAUUACACAGCUUAGGCUAGCAAUCUUCUUAUGAGGUGGGGUAGCUCCUCUGAUGCCACUGCACCCCUCUGAUUUUCAAGUUUUUCCUCUGGCCUCUGUCAUCGAGGGAGUCUACUUGGUGGUAGUAUGUGAGGACUGUAGAUUUUGCACCUUCCCAUGCUCGGUGCGCUCACCAUGUUUUGCCCUCUGUGUGCCUGCAAGCAGCUUGCUGAU